GACGAACGCUGGCGGCGUGCUUAACACAUGCAAGUCGAACGGAAAGGCCCUGCUUUUGUGGGGUGCUCGAGAGGCGAACGGGUGAGUAACACGUGUGUAACCUGCCCUUGAAUUUGGGGUAACUUCAGGAAACUGGGGCUAAUACCGGAUAGGAGCUCCUGCUGCAUGGUGGGGGUUGGAAAGUUUCGGCGGUUGGGGAUGGUCUGGCGGGUUAUCAGCUUGAUGGGGGGGUAGGGGCUGACAAAGGCUUUGAAGGGUAGCCUGCCUGAGAGGGUGACCGGCGACAUGACGCCUGAGAGACGGACCAGAAUCGUACGUGACGCAACAGGCGGGAACAUGGCACAACAGCGCGAAGCGAGUGACAGCGGCGUCCCGUGCGUGAUGCCCUGCUAUGGGUGAAAAACCGCUGUGGCCGGUGACAUACCCUGAGUGACGGUACCGGGUAAAGAAGCACCGGCUAACUACGUG
Molecule: ribosomal RNA, 468 nt
Filed under: uncultured bacterium
Lineage: Bacteria
Description: partial 16S ribosomal RNA
Rfam family: Bacterial small subunit ribosomal RNA
Source: RNAcentral